AGAGUUUGAUCCUGGCUCAGAUUGAACGCUGGCGGCAGGCUUAACACAUGCAAGUCGAGCGGAGAUGAGGUGCUUGCACCUUAUCUUAGCGGCGGACGGGUGAGUAAUGCUUAGGAAUCUGCCUAUUAGUGGGGGACAACAUUCCGAAAGGAAUGCUAAUACCGCAUACGUCCUACGGGAGAAAGCAGGGGAUCUUCGGACCUUGCGCUAAUAGAUGAGCCUAAGUCGGAUUAGCUAGUUGGUGGGGUAAAGGCCUACCAAGGCGACGAUCUGUAGCGGGUCUGAGAGGAUGAUCCGCCACACUGGGACUGAGACACGGCCCAGACUCCUACGGGAGGCAGCAGUGGGGAAUAUUGGACAAUGGGGGGAACCCUGAUCCAGCCAUGCCGCGUGUGUGAAGAAGGCCUUAUGGUUGUAAAGCACUUUAAGCGAGGAGGAGGCUACUGAGACUAAUACUCUUGGAUAGUGGACGUUACUCGCAGAAUAAGCACCGGCUAACUCUGUGCCAGCAGCCGCGGUAAUACAGAGGGUGCGAGCGUUAAUCGGAUUUACUGGGCGUAAAGCGUGCGUAGGCGGCUUUUUAAGUCGGAUGUGAAAUCCCCGAGCUUAACUUGGGAAUUGCAUUCGAUACUGGGAAGCUAGAGUAUGGGAGAGGAUGGUAGAAUUCCAGGUGUAGCGGUGAAAUGCGUAGAGAUCUGGAGGAAUACCGAUGGCGAAGGCA
This 721-nucleotide ribosomal RNA is filed under the name uncultured Acinetobacter sp. RNAcentral describes it as "bacterial SSU rRNA". It matches the Rfam family "Bacterial small subunit ribosomal RNA", at positions 8 to 723 of the family's 1533-position model. The record is from RNAcentral. Lineage: Bacteria; Pseudomonadati; Pseudomonadota; Gammaproteobacteria; Moraxellales; Moraxellaceae.